This is a long non-coding RNA of Ipomoea triloba (trilobed morning glory), 314 nucleotides long. RefSeq lists it as uncharacterized. The transcript is spliced from 2 exons. The record is from RefSeq and is a predicted model, not a curated record. NCBI's taxonomy places the organism in Eukaryota, Viridiplantae, Streptophyta, Magnoliopsida, Solanales, Convolvulaceae.
UUGGAUGUUGAUGGCUAUUUGUCCUAAAUUAUAUGAAAUCUAUUGGUUUGAUUCCACUGGUAAUCCGCCACGUGAUGAUAUUAAAGAUAUAGUUGAAACGUAUGUAAAUUUAUAAAUAUAAUUAAUACUUAUUAUUAAUAUAGUGAUGUCAAACAUUUAUGUAUAUUUUAUAUGUCUUAUAUUAAUAGGUCUUUGAAGGCAACAAGCAUAAUAGGUGGAAAGAAAGCAAGUCGUCAACUAAAAUGGAUUACAUGUUCGUGUGCCAUACAAUGAGGAGGUACCGAAUGCGGAUAUUAUGUGAUGAAAUUUAUUUU